AUGAUUGCAUUACCAUUUACAUUAAUACAGGUUUAUUAACACAGGUAAAGUUUCUUUAUUAGCAAAUUUAUACAAUAACAUCGUUUCUAUUGUAUACUAUUUAAGAAGAAUUUGAACGACUCUUCUAUGAACUCAUCAAUUUGAAGAACAAUAUGAAGAAUUGUGGACUUUUGUAGAAUGAUUCAAAAUAAGUUUCAAGAUAUCCAUCCUUCAGUUUGUAGAAUGAAGUAUGAAGUGGAGCAGAAAGUCCAUAUUAUGUCCCAAUCUGGAACACAAAUACAACAUUGUGACGUUGAUUCUUGCAAAAAUACCUUAUCCAACUCCUCAUCAAGAUUAGUCAUUAUCUAACAAAUUUUUACCUAAUUAUGUAGCAUAUACUGUAUAUAAGCAAAUUAUUGUUGAUACAUUUAAGAUAAAAUUACACAGGAAUGCCACAGAAUUAAGUAAUGACGCCAAAAAACAGCAUUUAGAACACUGAACAUCGGAUAAAGAAGAUACAUUCUAUAAAACGCCAUUAACUAUUGGCAAUAAUGUAGAACAAAUUAAAUACACCCAAAGCACUUAGACGGAUGUGUACAGAUUGAAAACACUAUAUAUAAUAAUAAAGCUAAGCACACUGAAUAGAUUUCUAGGCAAAGAUAAUUGCCUAGAUUGAAAACAUUAUUACACUUUAUAAAACUACAUUACAAAAAAUAUCCAGCAACUUUCCCGGCAAGAUUUACAACCACGUGUGUG
Centruroides sculpturatus (bark scorpion) is the source of this 735-nucleotide long non-coding RNA. RefSeq lists it as uncharacterized. The transcript is spliced from 3 exons. The record is from RefSeq and is a predicted model, not a curated record. Lineage: Eukaryota; Metazoa; Arthropoda; Arachnida; Scorpiones; Buthidae.